UACAUCAAGAAAUCUUCAACUGUUCUUUUCUUUCUUAGAAGGACUAACAGCUCUCCAAGUAUUUCAAGUCCUUUUGCUCAGAUCAGUAAGGCCCGCAGGGAGAACCUAUUGAGGCUGCUGGGUUCUUCAGUGUCCUAAACCGGGAGCGUAAACACUGCAGAAAUCUGCACUUCCAGUGUUCCCUUUUUCAGGGACAGAGAAAAGGACAUGUCUGGUCAUCAGUGCAUGAGGUGAACAGCUGGACCCUCUGGUUCCAGUCACCAACAGCCAGUUGUGUUUUCUCCUCACUUGUGGAAACUAAAAAAGUGAAACCAAGCUGGGUUUUUGUUGUGGUGGUGGUGUUAAUUUGGUUUAUUGAAUUUUUUGUUCGUUUGUGGUUUUUUUAAUGCACAUCAGCUAUGGCUCACUCUGAUGAUCUUUAGUUGGCAAAGUUUUCACUGAAGUCCAUAAAAAGUCAAAUAAUAGAAGGAAGUCUCCAAAUACAGAUCCAUUGCCUUACUCCAGGGAGGUUCUUUUCCUGUUUUGCAGAAAUGUUUUCCUAUAGAUGUUCCUGACCUGUCUUGGGGGCACUGGACAAGGAGAUUGGACCUGUCACAUCUCAGGGGUAUUUCAUUUUACCCGAGCUGAUGGCAGAUCCUGUGUCCCCGAGUGUUUCACCCAGGACCUACAGAAAUCCACUUGUUGCUUCUGGGGGAGGAUGGGGGGAACCGGUGGGGAGCCAGGACUUCCAUCUGAGCUUUAACCCCCACAGAGCCAGUGCCCAGAGCUGCUGUGAUAAAGGAGGUUUGCAAGGCAAAGGUCUGUCCACAGAUAACGUCAUGUAAAUGCUUCCCUUGGCAGUGGAGGGCAAUUCCAUCAGCAGACACUGACUCCAGAGCACUUGGAACUCUCCUUUCCUCUCCAAUAUAAAAAUCAGAAGGGGGAAUCUGUGCUGGAGCAGUUUGGGAAGGAGUGCAGCCCAUUGGAAGGAGCCACGCCGGAGCAGUUUGCGAAAGGCUGUAUUCCUGGGGAACAGAUCCAUGCUGGAGAAAGGGAAGAGCACGAACAGGAAGGAGCAGCAGAGGCAAAGUGUUCUGAACUGACCCCCAGCCCCGUUCCCCAGCCCUGUGUGCCACUCAGUGGGGGAGGACAUAGAGGGAUGGGUAAUGAUGGAGUGAAGUGGAGCCUGGGAAGCAGGUGGGGGUGGUGGCUUAGAUGUGUCUCUUUUAACCAUCCCAAAUCUAUUUGACUUGGCAAUCAAUUAAGUUGUCACCUGGUAUUACUUUGGGUUUUUUUCAGUGCUUGUUCCUGACAGCAAAUGCUGAUGACGUUCCACCAAGCACGGGAUGUGGGGUAGGAUCUGCUGGAGGGGUGGCUGGUGCCACCAGGGCCCUGAGCUGUGGCUGCACAAGUGCUGGCAGGAGGCAGCAGGUGCCAGGGGAGGAGGACUUGGCCAUGGGCAGUGGCUGCUGCCACACUGCCAGGCCCUGUUGCCAAAACCUCUGCAGGCUCAUCACGUUCUGUAACGUGUUUUUUCUCUUGAAACUUUUUUUCUAUCCAAAUAAAAUCACUGAUGUUGCCCCCCGGCCUCCUCAGAGAUACAUACAAGGUCAUAGCCGUAGAGGGGAAAUAGUCUGUCCCUUGAGCCUUUCUGGGGAAGCAGCAGGUGCAAAAGACAUUUUCAUGCAACACAGUUAGAUUCAGGAGCUUAUUUCCAGGAUGUUAUAGAGGAGUAUCAAUAGAUUCCAAAAGAGACUUAAAGUCAUGGACACGUUCCAGCUUGCACUUCAAAUGGUCCUUUCUUCUGUCCAUACAGCAAGGAUGAAAUACUUUGAUAGUUGUGUGUCAUGAUCCUAAGCAGGCAGACCUGAAGCCUUUCUGAAGUGUUUAGGUAAGAGCUUCAAAUCUAGAGACUUCAGUAGUACACAGAAAUCACCCAUCCUUACCCAGAGCACCAGAAAAGCAUCUGUGAGGGUUUGUCUCAAAGCUUCAUCCCAUCUGUCUCUGGCAAGGGCUCAAGUUAAUGCCUUAACAGAAGUUAAGAAAGUGUGGGAACACAGGCCUCUUCUGAGUACUUUCCCAGCUUCCAACAAUUUUUACAGCACAGGGAGCUCCUGAGCCAGGUUUGGUUUAAAUAAAUGCAUUUUAUUUAAAUGAUAUAAAAUCAAUGGUAAAAUUAAACCACCUAGACCGAUUAGGUGGGCUGCUGUUACACCAGCCUCUGACAGGUGACUUCUCCAUCCAAAGGCAACUCCCAGUGAGGGCUGUGAGCACCCAGAGGUGCCUCUGGGUGUAGUGGCUGAACAGCCGGUUUUAGAAACCCUGGUGGUUUCACAACAAACAUGUUUAUCCCUCUCUACAACUCCUCCAUGCACACACGUUUGCAACAAGCAGCAGGCCCUGUUCAGUGCAGGGCAGAUCUGGAAAACAGCCAGCUCUGAACUGCCUGAUUAUUUUCCCGUUUCCCUUUAUACACUGCAACUCCAAAUAGUGAUACAGAUUUCUUCACUCUCUAGUGCUUUCAUUUCUGAAGAUGCCCAGUAACUUGGCAGCUGCUCCCAAAGGGCACAGCAAGGUCCUGCUGCAGGGUUUUCACACUGCUAAGAGGCAGUAAAGGAACCAGAAGUGAACCGUGUUUCCCCUGGUGUCUUGGAAAGGGUGUCACAAACUUACUGACAGUUUCAUUCACAAUUUAUUUAAGAACAUGACUCCAGGAUGCAAACAGAAUCAUGAUGCCAGUCAGUAUCUGGGAGAUGACUUGGAGUCAGGCAAGAACUCUUUCGGUGAUCUAAUUCUUUUUGACCCUUACAGCGAUCAUCUUCAGAAUGUUAUGAAACACUGGAACUCUCGAGUUUUUACUCCAGGCUUGGGCUGCCCUCGGCGGGCAGGGGGCUGUGCACUGCAGGCACAGCUGCGGGCAGGGGCGGCUGCCGACACCCGUCCCGCAGGGAAGCGCUGGGAAAAGCAGCUCCCAGAGCACGGAGCGGUGCAGGGGCUGGGUCUGUUCCAGAUUGCAGAAGGCACCUGAACGAAAUGCAGUUAAUUUCAGCUGCCGCUCCCCAGGGGUCGGCACGGCCGGGCCGGGGGUCCCGGCUGCCCCCGCACACCCCGCGGCCGGGGGGCUCCGGGAGGGGCUGCUCGGGGAGAGACCCCCCCCCAGCAGCACAGCCAGACAAACCAGCACCUCCCUGGCGCCAUCGGCCCAGCCCGGGGGGGAGAAAACAAUGAGCGAUCAAACCAACGAGCCCCUCGGGACUUUGGGGCAGCCGGUUCCCGGGCACCGAGCGCUGCAAACGAGCCCUUUGCUGAGGGCUCUGCAAGACCCCGCAGAGCUCCCGGCGCGGGCGUUAAACGGCAGCUCGCGUUUCUCUGCAGCCCGGCUGACAUCAGGCUGCACUUUUUGAGGCACUUCGUGAGGAUCGUGUACAGGAUGGCCAGGUUUUGUUUUGUGCACACUUGAUCAAACGUCGCAGAACCUAUGAAGCAGGUUCUGACCCUUUUCCUGCUGAUGGCAAUAAACCUAUCAGGAAACCUCGGCGAGCUCUUUUUCUGCAGCUACACUCACCUAAUGAGGUAAGCCUGGCGGGGUAAAACAAAAGGCACUGCAGAUGCCUAGGUUUAUUCUCAGAAAUAGGGUGUUGCCUUUGAGCUGAAACCUGCAAACAGGAACGGCUGCGGGGGGCGAGGCUGUGAGAAUAGGUGACAAGCGGGGUACGACUGCCUUUGGACCUCAAGUGAAGCGCUGGAGGGUUCUUUCUGCCACCGGAUUUUACGGAUUGUACUUUGGCGACCCAGACGGGACCGCGCUCCUGCACCUCGAGGGAUCCGGGGAAUCGCAGCAUCUCCAGCCGGCAGCGAGGGAUUUUCGGGAAGAAUCUCUGACCCCUGAACCGAAGAGCUCGGAGCAAGUUCCCUGUCUUCACUAACGGGCUUGACACAAGUGCGAGUGAUUGGUGGCACGUGAAGGCUGAGGAUUCGUUCUGCUGCUGGUGCCUGUUCAGCUGCUGUUUUCCGUUGCCUGAGAAAAGGCGAGGAGAGCUGCGUUCCUGCAGAGGCCACUGCAGAGAACCUUUGACAAAAAUCUGAUUUCCAAGACAUUAUGGGCAAGCGAAAAGGAAGUGGGCUUUUCUACAGGUCUAUUUUAUCUGGAUUGCAUGAGUUAAUGUCUUUCAAAAUUAAGCAUAACUAUUUGCUUUCAGUUACUGAGAUUGUCUACUGCCUCUAGGCUUUGAAUCUGGGACCCAUCAGAGUUUUCACUCAAAUUGCUGUAUAGCAUAGAUAAAUUCAGAAAAUUAAGCAGGUGCUUAAAUGAGGCAAAUAAGCAGGCCUAGUAAUUGCUCUCUUUGGUUUAAGCCAAAGACUUUUUCAUACUUUAUGUGCUUCCUCCUGUGAGCCACAAUGCAAAGAUUUCA
Apus apus (common swift) is the source of this 4391-nucleotide long non-coding RNA. RefSeq lists it as uncharacterized. Lineage: Eukaryota; Metazoa; Chordata; Aves; Apodiformes; Apodidae. The record is from RefSeq and is a predicted model, not a curated record. The transcript has 3 exons.